UCGAGGAUCUUCGGCAAUGGGCGCAAGCCUGACCGAGCGACGCCGCGUGCGGGAUGAAGGCCUUCGGGUUGUAAACCGCUGUCAGUGGGGAGGAAAUGCGCGGGGGUUCUCCCCCGUGUUUGACCUAUCCGCAGAGGAAGUACGGGCUAAGUUCGUGCCAGCAGCCGCGGUAAGACGAACCGUACGAACGUUAUUCGGAAUUACUGGGCUUAAAGGGUGCGUAGGCUGUGCAGAAAGUUGGGUGUGAAAUCCCUCGGCUCAACCGAGGAAGUGCGCCCAAAACUACUGUGCUUGAGGGAGACAGAGGUGAGCGGAACUUAGGGUGGAGCGGUGAAAUGCGUUGAUAUCCUAAGGAACACCGGUGGCGAAAGCGGCUCACUGGGUCUCUUCUGACGCUGAUGCACGAAAGCUAGGGUAGCGAACGGG
RNAcentral lists this ribosomal RNA (426 nucleotides) under uncultured bacterium. Its description in RNAcentral is "bacterial SSU rRNA". It matches the Rfam family "Bacterial small subunit ribosomal RNA", at positions 355 to 776 of the family's 1533-position model. The record is from RNAcentral.